GAUGAACGCUGGCGGCGUGCUUAACACAUGCAAGUCGAACGAAACACCUCCCCCUCAGAUUGACUCAGCUUGCUGUAGAUUGAUUCAUUUGAGGUUACUGAGUCGCGUACGGUUGAGUAACGCGUGGGUAACCUGCCUCGUAGAGGCGGACAACAGUUGUAAACUACUGCUAAUACCGCACAGUAAGAAUAAUUCGCAUGUUUUCUUCUUGAAAGAUUUAUCGCUAUGAGAUGGACCCGCGUCUGAUUAGCUAGUUGGUAAGGUAACGGCUUACCAAGGCGACGAUCAGUAGCCGGCUUGAGAGACGGAACGGACACAUUGGGAGUGAGACAUGCCCCACACUCCGACGGGACGCAGUAGAGGUUGAUCCUGCACCAGGCGGGAAGUACAGAAAAAGCGACGGCGGGUGACUGAAGAAGUAAUUCGCUAAGCACAGAAGAAUCAGCAGUGGAGAGAAUGCCGGUACAUGAAAAAGAAGCCACCGAUAACUACGUG
RNAcentral lists this ribosomal RNA (495 nucleotides) under uncultured bacterium. Its description in RNAcentral is "partial 16S ribosomal RNA". It matches the Rfam family "Bacterial small subunit ribosomal RNA", at positions 28 to 507 of the family's 1533-position model. The record is from RNAcentral.